AUUCACCGGACAGAACGACAGAGCGUGAUGGCACUGGCGGUCUCGCUCGUCCUCGCGUGUGCGCUAUUCUCCAAAGCAUACCCACUCCAGUGUGUUGAGUGUAUACCCAUGGGUCCAGAACCAUGCACACCUGCUCGGGUGACUUGUCCAGCUAAGCUAACCAGAUGUGCCAGCACGACUGUGGCUAACUUUGUGGAAGGUCAAAAGACACUUGAAAUAACAGUGAAGACAUGUGCAGCUCCUGCUGAAUGUGCCAGUGGUUCGUUAAGCCUUCAGAAUGUAAGGACAACUGUGAAUACCUACUGCUGUGGAACAGACUUGUGCCAAAAUCGGGAUCCCCCAGCACUGAUUGAUAAAUCACUGAAUGGGAAGCAGUGUUUUGAAUGUUUCGAAAAUAACUGCACAAUUAUUCAGAUGUGCCGUGGAAUAGAAGAUCACUGCAUUACGAUUUCAGCAACCGAUCGUAACAAGACUAAUACAAACAAAGGAUGUGCCUCCCAAACCGUCUGUGCUGGGACCCUGAGAGGUAAAGUUGGAUUGGGCGUUGGACUUAACAUAUACUGCUGCAAGGGAAACCUGUGCAACAGCGCCCUGCCUGUUGAGCAGAGCUUCCACCUCCACCUGCUGCUGGUGUCUCUGGCCUCCUUCAUCCUCUUAUACUGAGCAGGGAGCUGCCUUGCUGUUCCCCCUCCUACCUGUCUGACCUCACAGUCCUCACCAACUCGGCUCUCCACUCCACUCUACAACCCCUCUCCUCUCUCCUAUAUCCCUCUGUGAGCCAGGUGUCAACGCUAGAUCAUGUUGUGUGGGAGGCCUGUAGGAUUGAUUGACAGAAAUGAUGUGUGGGCAUUUCCGCAAUUACUGAAACUUAAAUGUUGUCAAAAGGUUGAAUUAUGAAAAUUGUAAUACUUCUAGCAUUAUUAAUCUUUACACUCAAUUGUUUCACAUAAAUGCAGUUUCUAUUUUAA
Long non-coding RNA from Megalops cyprinoides (Indo-Pacific tarpon), 968 nucleotides. RefSeq lists it as uncharacterized. The transcript is spliced from 5 exons. The record is from RefSeq and is a predicted model, not a curated record. Lineage: Eukaryota; Metazoa; Chordata; Actinopteri; Elopiformes; Megalopidae.